Molecule: ribosomal RNA, 253 nt
Filed under: uncultured bacterium
Lineage: Bacteria
Description: partial 16S ribosomal RNA
Rfam family: Bacterial small subunit ribosomal RNA
Source: RNAcentral
GACGAACCGUGCGAACGUUGUUCGGAAUCACUGGGCUUAAAGGGCGCGUAGGCGGGCUGUCAAGUCUGGGGUGAAAUGCCGCGGCUCAACCGUGGAACUGCCUUUGAUACUGGCGAUCUCGAGUCCGGGAGAGGUGAGCGGAACUGCGAGUGUAGAGGUGAAAUUCGUAGAUAUCGGGAGGAACACCAGUGGCGUAAGCGAUCACCUGGGCUAGACCUGACGCUGAGGGACGAAGGCGUGGGGAGCAAACGGG